UGGGGAAUUUUGGACAAUGGACGCAAGUCUGAUCCAGCCAUGCCGCGUGCGGGAAGAAGGCCUUCGGGUUGUAAACCGCUUUUGUCAGGGAAGAAAAGGCUCCGGAUAAUACCUGGGGCUCAUGACGGUACCUGAAGAAUAAGCACCGGCUAACUACGUGCCAGCAGCCGCGGUAAUACGUAGGGUGCAAGCGUUAAUCGGAAUUACUGGGCGUAAAGCGUGCGCAGGCGGUUAUGUAAGACAGAGGUGAAAUCCCCGGGCUCAACCUGGGAACUGCCUUUGUGACUGCAUGACUAGAGUACGGUAGAGGGGGAUGGAAUUCCACGUGUAGCAGUGAAAUGCGUAGAUAUGUGGAGGAACACCGAUGGCGAAGGCAAUCCCCUGGACCUGUACUGACGCUCAUGCACGAAAGCGUGGGGAGCAAACA
This 427-nucleotide ribosomal RNA is filed under the name uncultured bacterium. RNAcentral's name for it is "bacterial SSU rRNA". It matches the Rfam family "Bacterial small subunit ribosomal RNA", at positions 355 to 774 of the family's 1533-position model. The record is from RNAcentral.